Molecule: RNA transcript, 3598 nt
Organism: Sciurus carolinensis (gray squirrel)
Lineage: Eukaryota; Metazoa; Chordata; Mammalia; Rodentia; Sciuridae
Exons: 3
Source: RefSeq, a predicted model, not a curated record
CCAUCGCAUUGUCCCCAAUAUAAAGAUGAGCAAAGAGAGGCUUCCUCCAGGCAGCCAGACCAGAGCCAGAUCCGGUGCAGCAGACACCUGCCAACAUCCCCUCUCCAGAGCCAGGCCACUGGGGCACCUGCCAGCAACCCGAGGCCUCCUUCAACCCUCUGCGGCUCCGCAGGCUGUGAGCAGAAAGCUCACCCCCAGCACACAGCGGAUCCUGGCUCCACCUCACCAAGGCAAGCGACAAAGGGCUGCAUUCGGCUCCCCGGGGCCUCCCGAAGCCCGGCCUGACAGCCGUCACCCAGCUCAGCAGCCCAGCCCGGCGGCGAAGCAUGACUCAGCGCUUCUCCUCUCGAGCGGGGAACGCCACCCCUCCGCAUCCGUCCGCCCAGCUCAGGAAAACAAAAUGACUGUGACCUCAGACACUGGAAGACAUUCAGGCUGCAUUCAAGUCCGGACAGCGAGGGAGCUGGGGCCGGCACAGCCUCCUGCAAAAGGGGCGAGACAAGACGGUGCCUCAGAAGGUUGGCAUGCCUGGCUCAUGCUUAGCAAGAACCUGGCCUCAUGGUGCUAUGCUGCCGUCGUGCUGAGCUCCAGCCUCCUGCAUGCCCCUUACCCUUCCUCUCUGAUCUUGGAGAGAUCUCCACACCCACCUUUCCUAUCUCUCAGUUCUGCCAAAGCACCCACCCCAUGCUGGCAUGAGCCUCACUUGCAGGGAUGCCCUGGACACACUGCAAUGGCCCACCCAUGCUUCAGUCCCUCAGCUCUGAGCCGUGCCUGGGACCCCAGAGUUGGUAUCUCUAGAUUUGCUGGACCCCAAGACUCGGCACCAGUCCCAAGGGAGUGCUCCUGCAUCCUCUUCAAGCUGUCUCUCCAUUCACUGCAGCACCCCCACUCCCCCAUCAGAGCCAAGGCCUCCCUCUGCCUCCCGGCUACUGGCACCUACUCAGUCACAGAAUCCACUGCUUCCUGGUCCGUAUCUGCUCACGUCCCUGUCCCCUCGGGCUGGAACCUGAACUCCAGCACCCACUUUCUGUGCAGAGUGCUCCCUGUCUUUCAAUCGCCUGCUGUGUGCACACAUGUUGUGGCACAGGUUAGUGCAGCAGACAGACAGGACCCUGCUCCCACGGGGUGCUUCUCCUAGUGGCUCAAGAGGGGCACUAGGAGGCGAGCGUGCACUGAGGAGACCAUGGUGGAUGGAGAAGAGAGGAGGGUGCUGGAGGGCAGAUGCCCGGCUGGGAGGGGUCCUGUGAGAAGGGAGGGGACACUGUAUAAGGAGAAAUUUGGCAGCAGCCCUCCAGAGGCUCUGGCAGCUUCCACCUGCUUGGGUCUCUACCCAGAGACAGUCCUAGCCCCUGACCCCUCCCAGUGCCAGCACACCGCCUCCCCGUCCUCUCGCCCACCGCCUCAGCCCUCCUGCCAGCUUCUGACCACCAUCACCUCUCCUUCCCCAAAAGAAGCCGGUCUCAUGGGGCAGAGAAUGACCUCCUGGAGCCAGGGGACACCGUAGCCCCCCUCUCGGCCUCACACACUCCCCCGGCAGCUGUGCCUCCAGCUCUCUGCUGUUGCUCCUCCGCUGCUUUUGGAGUUUCGCUCCUUCUGAUGGACUUUCCUCGAGUCUCCGCGUGCCUGUCUCCCCAGCCUGCCUCCGUGGACAUAGAGCACAUACAGAAAAGGACAGUAUGGACCGGACUGUGCCCCACCCACCACCCAGACCCCUGCGUGGCAGCCCAAUGCCAUGGUGUUUGGGGGUGGAGCCUUCGGGAGGUGAUUGGGGCCAGAUGGGGGUCACAGAGGGUUCUGUGGUGGAAUCCUACCUUUAUUAAAAAAAAAAAAAAGAAGAAGAAAACUCACCUGCUUCCUCCUGAGACUCACACGUGUGGGCUCCUGGGGAGAAAGACGGGCCACCUACGAACCAGGAAGAAAACCUCACUGUGGAGCAGAGCGGCCAGAGCCUCGACCUUGGGCCUCCAACUUCCAGAGCUCUGAGAUAGUAAGUUCUGUCACUUAAGCCGCCCAAUCCAUGGUGGCUUGCUAUGGCAGCCCGUGUGCAAAUUGGACAUUGGGCCCUGUGGAUAUCGAGCACCUGUGGCUGCCCCCAUGGCAGGAACCCUAGUGACAGACCAGUGCCCCACAAAAACACAGAGACCUUGCGUCCUUCCUUUCUGCCAAGUGGGGACAGAGCAAAAAGACCACCAGCUCCAAGUCAUGGGAUCCCUGCAGCCUCCAGAGCCACGAGGAGUCUGCAUCCUGUGUAAGUCAUCUGGUGGUGGCACGUGGGUUACAGCAGCCCUGGUUAAGGUGCCACCCAUACAUGACCCCUCCUUGAACUGUAACACUACGGCUUCCCUGUUCUGGAGAGUUCCAGCAGCAGACUGGGGGUGUGAAUGCUGCCGACCUGCUGUCCUGCUCAGCAUUCUCUGCGGUCCACUCGGUGGUAUACCUGCAGCUGUGACCUGUUCGUUUGCUGUGGAAACGCAGCAACUUGCCCUUAGCACGGGCACUGCGGUGCCUUCAGUUUGGAAGCUGUGAAGUUCCUGGGUCAGCAUUUACACGCACAUGGUGCCAGAACGGCCACUCAACAGUCUCUGGACAUCUAACUGUAGUUGCAGAGGGCAAGCAGUCUUCUUAGAGGACCCAGGCUGAUGGAGCAGCUCCACGUUUGGACAGUGGGCUCGUGCAGAACUAAGAGAGACCUGGGGCCAUGAGCUCACUCCUGUGGCACCACUGGCCUCAGUGGAACACAGGGGACCGUCUUCCUCCAGGAAGGAGCUGCAAUCAUUUUGCACCACAAGACAGUCUACCAUCGCUCCCAUUUUACAAAUUAAAGAAACAGGUGCUGAGUCAUUUUUUCCUGACUCACAACUCCUACGUGGCAGUGCUGAGAUUUACCCAGGUCUGAGUGGAUCCAGAGCUUAUUGGGUCGGCCCACAAAAGCUAGUACUAACCUAGCCACUCUGCCAGCAUCCCCCUCCAGAGCCCAGGGCCAAGCUUCCAGGUGGUCUCAGCUCAUUCUAGCACUGAGAUCCAUCUGUUUUCGCCUCUAGGCUGAAAGAGUGUCACGUGGCUCUUCCUUCCAGUGCCAUGAUGGACCCGAUCCCACCCACUCACCCCAGUCUAGUUCACCAGGCCUGGGGAUGGAGAAUGUCUCAGAAACAGGCCACGACCCAGCAAAGGGAAGUGAGCCCACAUGGAAGGGCCUAGAGCUACUGCUUAGCCCGGCACCCCCAAGGUCCCCAGGGUGUUCUGCACAGGACACCCAGAAAUAAAGGAAGGUGGAAAAGUUGUGAUCCUGAACCCAAACGUAAUUGCCAAAACCCCUCUGGGGUGUGUCAUUCCAGGUUAGUUGUCUCUUCAUUUUUUUACUUCUAUUUGUUUUAAUGACAUGUUUCAAAUACGCGGAGACAUGAAGGAUGAGCACUCCCCGCCUUCUGAUCGCUGAUUCAGGAUGGAUCAAUCUUUCCAAUCCGACAUUCUUGCUUCAGCCCUUUUCACUUCAGAAAUAAAACCAGAAAAAGAGAAGGCGGACGCUUCCUCACAGCCUCCUUAAUUCCCUCUUCCCUUUCUCUUUCCGAAGGCAAACACUUUCCCCGAGUUGGUGCUU